CAAAAACAUNUCUUUAGAAUUUAAGUCGAGGUCUGACCUGCCCAGNGAUUAAUUUAACGGCCGCGGUAUACUGACCGUGCNAAGGNAGCAUAAUCAUUAGUCUUUUAAUAGAGGGCUGGAAUGAAAGGUUNNNCGAGGAACCGACUGUCUCAUUUUAUUUGUUUUAAAAUUUAAUUUUUUAGUNAAAAAGCUAAAAUNUCNUNGGAAGACGAGAAGACCCUAUAGAUCUUUAUAGAAAUAUAUUUAAUUAUUAUUAUAUAAAUAUAAUUAUUUAUUUUUCUAUUUUGUUGGGGUGACAAAAAUAUAAAUAUAACUUUUUUAUUUAUUUAACAUUGAUUUAUGAAUAUAUGAUCCAUUAUUAGUGAUUAUUAGAUUAAGUUACCUUAGGGAUAACAGCGUAAUCCUCCUCCAGAGUUCAUAUUUACAGGAUGGGCUUGCGACCUCNAUGUUGGAUUAAGAUAAUAAUCAGGUGUAGCCGCUUGAUAUAUAGGUCUGUUCGACCUUUAAAUUCUUACAUGAUCNGAG
This 525-nucleotide ribosomal RNA is filed under the name Trithemis monardi. Its description in RNAcentral is "partial 16S ribosomal RNA". It matches the Rfam family "Bacterial large subunit ribosomal RNA", at positions 1808 to 2609 of the family's 2925-position model. Lineage: Eukaryota; Metazoa; Arthropoda; Insecta; Odonata; Libellulidae. The record is from RNAcentral.